AAAACAUGGUUUUUUGUUUAUAUAAAAAAUCUGACCUGCUCAGUGAAUUUUAAAUAGCUGCAGUAUUUUGACUGUACAAAGGUAGCAUAAUCACUUGUCUUUUAAUUGAGGUCUGGAAUGAAUGGUUUGAUGAAGGAAAUACUUUAUUUAUUUUAAUAGGAAAAUUUAAUUUUUAAGUUAAAAAGCUUGAAAAUUUUUUUAUAGGACGAGAAGACCCUAUAGAGCUUUAUUUAUAUAUUUUUAUAUUUUUAUGGGUUAUAUAUUUUUAAUAGAAUUAUAUGAAUUUUGUUGGGGCGAUAAAAAAAAUAUUAUAACUUUUUUUAUUUUUUACAUUAAUUUAUGUUUGUUUGAUCCUUUAUUUUGGAAAAAAAGAAUAAGUUACCUUAGGGAUAACAGCGUUAUUAUUUCGGAGAGUUCUUAUUGAUGAAAUAGUUUGCGACCUCGAUGUUGGAUUAAAAUAAGAUAUAGAAGUAGAAUGUUAUAUUCUUGGUCUGUUCGACCUUUAAAUUUUUACAUGAUCU
RNAcentral lists this ribosomal RNA (521 nucleotides) under Orthotylinae gen. ZANCGEN7 sp. Msp405. Its description in RNAcentral is "partial large subunit ribosomal RNA". It matches the Rfam family "Bacterial large subunit ribosomal RNA", at positions 1810 to 2606 of the family's 2925-position model. Lineage: Eukaryota; Metazoa; Arthropoda; Insecta; Hemiptera; Miridae. The record is from RNAcentral.